GGGGAUGGACUUUAAGAACCUCAUCCUAGCUGCCUGGAAGCCAGUAUUAUGCUAGCAGCCUUCAGAUGAAGAUGUAGACCUCUGAGAGAUUCCUCCACAUGCCUGUCUGGACGCUGCCAUGCUCCUGCUAUGAUGACAAUGGACUGAACCUCUGAACUGCCUAGCUGCUGUGUAGCAAUUUCCUCUCAGCUGAAACAUUCCAUCUGAGAAAGAGACUCCUUAAAACGGACUCAGAAAGCACGUAACCCCAGAUUCAGCAAGUCCCUCCGUCCUCAAGGCUGUAUAAGCAGAAAGGGGAAAGGUGAGUCCGUUCUGUGGUUCUACCUCAGGUGAGCUACCUGCCUGCUGAGGAGGGGGGCUGUGCAGUUUGAAGGCAUUUACCCACAAAUCUGGCAGGUUUUCCAGCAGGACCUUUAAGGAACAAGGUCCUUUCCUUGAAACCUCUCCAGAUCUGACUUGGCCAAGAGAAGCAGGGCUGUCAAAUGCAAACCGAAAGGGUCCAUGAAGCUUGUGACUUAGGAGGUUGGAAGAUCAAAGACUGCAUACGGAAUAUUCAGAUCUCCCUUGCUUACCUUGUAACCUUGACCAACUGCAGUCUUGCUUUAACUGCAGCACGGCCUUGUCUUUUUUUGGCCCUUUUCUAAGGUCUGCCCCUGGAGCAGGAGCCCAAAUAAAGGCCAGGAUUCUGCUGUGCUCGCGGAAGAAAGAGCUGACUUCCCCAUUUGGCAUGGAAAAUUGCGGUAUUCGGAAUGUCUGUGCUCCCAACAUGCUCCUGCCUGGAAAACCUGACUCUCAAAAGGAUGGAUUAGGAGGUGGAGCUGUUGUGACAUUGAAUCAGGUGGUGAAUGGCACCAGUGAUGAGAGCUGUGUGCUGUGUGUGUGCUGUGUGCUGUGUGUGUGUGUGUGUGUGUGUGUGUGUGUGUGUGUGUGUGUGUGUGUGUGUGUGUAUGAAAGGACUCAGGGAGAAGUUCGUCAUUUGCAAGCCAGAAAGAGUCCUCAUCAUGAACUGGCUCUGCCAGUAUCUUGAGCUGUUGAACUGUGAAGAAUAAAUACCUUUCUGUUGGUUAAACUUACCAGUCUAUGAUAUUUUGUUACAGGGUCAACUGAGCCAUCCAAAAUACCAUUAAAUCAUGUUUAUAUUUCUCACCAGUGUAUCUCUUACAACAGUCCAGAUUGAUUACCGUAUAAACAAUCAUCCCCAAAUCUAGUGACUUCAAACAGCAUCACUGAGUUAGAGCAUGCCCUGCACUUGGGGACAAGGUCCACGAGGCAGCCGGAUGCUGCUCUAGAAUACCUGGAACUCAGCUUGGAGGACACAAAGACUGUUGCUGGAAUGAUUUGAGGGGUUGCAUAUUUGACAUCGUGGUGAGUGAUGCUGGCUAUCUGCUAGGACACCUAAGGGUGACCUCUUCAUACAGGCUAGUGAGGGCUACCAUACAGCAUGGCUACUGAGCUCCAAGUGUGGAGAUCUCGAGAGAGAGAGAGAGAGAGGCAAAGGUGUAGCCUCCUUAUCUCUUUCCUGCCAUGCUGGAGAUAGGACAGAGGGAUCCCCACACUCUGAGUACAAGGCUUCGAAGCCCAGAACUGCUGUCUGUACUGAGCACUUAGGGCCUUGUGCUCUGGUAAUGCCAGAUCCUUGACUACACCACAGAAAAGAAUUUCAGUGAAGUAGAGUGAAGCAGUUGGCAAGUUUUCUAGGGAGAGAUAAAGAGACUGUAUAUAGUUCAGUGUAGGUACUGAGACAGAGAGACAGACAGACAGACAGACAGACUAAAGAAGGGACAGCACACACCUCUAAAAUGUGACCUUCUCAAAAUGGUAGCAUGCUUUGAUGUCUUUGUUAUGACUGUGUAUGUGAAUCCAUGUCUUUUACAGUUAUUGCUCAAGGGAUGCAAUUUACAAUAAGGUUUAAAGGCUGGAUUUUUAUAUUGUGUAUGUGUGUUAGUCUGUAUCUAGGUGUGUGCACCUGGGUAAAAGUGCCCACAGAAGCCGGAUGAACUGGGUGCUCCUGGAACUAGAAUUACAAAUGGCUGUAAGCCCCCUAACAUGGUUGCUGGGAAUUGACCUCAGGUCCUCUGGAGCCUGUUCUUAACUGAUGGGCCUCCAGCCCCUACUCUUGAACUUUUGGCGGGGGGGAGAAUUACAUUUACUUGGUACGUGUGUACCUGAGUGUGGAAGUGCACGUGACUCCUGUGGAGGUUGGAGGACAACUUGCAAAAGUCUGUUCCCUCCUUCUACUCUGUAGGUCCUGGUGAUCAAUGCUUGAGGCUUGGCAGCAAGCACCUUUCCCACUGAGCUCUCUCUCCAGCACCACUUCUUGCUGGGAAUUGAACUCAUGACCUCUGGAAGAGCGGUCGGGCGCUCUUAACCGCUGAGCCAUCUCUCCAGCCCGUCCAGCACCACUUCUUAUUGGAAGGUGAUUGUAGGAGGUUGUGUUUAGGAAUGAGAGAAGAGAGCUGGCACAGUUAUGAGCAAGGUCAUAAACACUCUGACCCUAAGUGUUGAAAUGCACUGCAUUAGUGCUUUGUGACCUUCUUUGACAUAUCUUUGAAUGGUCUCUACAGAUUGUAACUUUAAUUUUUUUUCAAUGCCUACUUUUAAUGCUGGUUCUUAAAUGCUUUAACCUCCCUUCUAGACCACCACCCACCAGAGGUAGUAAAAACGAAAGGAUACAAGAGAUGUGGACCUGUUUAGAAAUGGUUCUUUGGAAAUGUCUGUGUUGGCUGCAAAUCCACAGUUCAGUUCACAGAUUUGCAGAAACAGCUCAAUCCAGUCGCAAACACUUAACGGAUAUAUGCACAGUUCAGCUUGGUAGAGUCGGGAUAGCAAACACAAAUCAGCAGCAGGGACACUACCUAGCCGAGAAGCCAGGCCUCAGCCUCGACAUCAGUCAACAGCAGGGGGGGCCAGCAGGAAUGCUAAGAGCCGUUCUUGGCUAUGCCUCUGUCAGCGAAGCCAAGAGUAUCGAAGAGUCAAGACCAACAAGCAUAGCACAGCUAGCUCUAUAAGCAAGCCUAGCUCAGCCUCCGCCAUUGUCCAUCGAGUUCCAUCGAUGGCCAUGUGUCCUCCGAGCAUCUAGUCUCAGCACGUGCAUCUGUCUCAGAUGACAUCACUCUUCCAAUCAGCUCAAGUCCACAGAGACAACAAGGAACUACAGCACACCACCAAAAGUUUCUUGAUACAUUUCUCGCUAUAAAGUCCUAACAAAUAGAGCUCAACUACAUAAUGUAAUACAGACCAAUACAUGCAUGUCAUUAGAAAUAAAUCCUUUAUCACAUGUCUUUUCACAUGCUCACUUUCACCUGUGUCUGCUUCAAUGCCUUAGAUUUUCAACUAUUGUCUACUUCAAGGAAAAAAAAAAAAACACUCCUUCAUGUGUUUGCCCUAGCAAAACACCAUCCAACACAACUGACUUUUCAAAGAACCCUUAAGUUUCCACUUCAUUGGGUGACUUUGACUUGGGCAUUUGUAUUGAAACUUCUGACUCAAAAUGAGACCCCGGAGUAAAGGGACCCUUUCUGCUCCCAUGCCCCUCAAUUCUCUCUGUCCUUUUCCUGCCUCCAUACAGCUAAGUUGCAGCUCAGCCCUAAACCUUUGACCUGGCAACUGUAACUUUUUUUUCUUUAUUGCUAGAAGAAGGAACAUAACAGAGGAAGCAUGUGUCAUGGCUGACGGUUUGGGGAGAUGUGGUCUGGUAUACUGGGAAGUCAAGAUGGUAUGUGGCUUCAUAGUGGCUUCAUGCUUAUGAGACCUUUCUUUCUUUCACACCUCAGGCAGGCAGAGCAGGAGGCAGAAAAGGGACAGGAAGUGAGGCCAGGCUAUAAAACUUAAGGUUAGCUGCCCAGCAGUCUACUUCCUCCAAGUAAGCCCCCCUCAUAAAAGUUCCACAGCCACGUGGGGAAAGGAGAGAACCAGCUCGUGCCAGUUAUCCUCUGAAGUGGUCUACUACCUCAAAAAUAAUUUUUUAUUUUUUUAAAAAGUUACCAAAGAAAAGUGUAAAAAUGCAUCUCCUGUAACACAGGAACUUUCACAAGGAACUGAAAAUCCGAAGAAAAUGUUAAAAUUGGUGCUUUUAUACUGGGCUUGAUGUAGGGUAGAUAAUGGUGAGAAAACGUCUUAGAACAAAGUGGCGGCACCUUAGAACAAAGAAGCUAUGGUGGCAAGUCCUGUUCCUUUGGAGUUUUCUGGGUGGCCCUCCAUCUUGAGAAAUAAGAGGGGAUGAGUUCUGUCCUGGGUGACUAGGAGGAGCAUCUCCCACCUGAGGGUCUUGUGACCCGCUGUAAGGUCACAAAAGAGUUCAGAGUCUGUCUUGCAAUCAACAUGUCUCACCUUAAAAGAAAUCAUGCUAAGAAAUCAUGCUAGCAUAUGCUGAAUCCUUCUGAGAAAUACAUACUUGGGGCUGAAGAGAUAGAUGGCUAGGCCAUUAAGAACUAAGUUUGGUUUCUAGCACACAUGUCAGAUGGCUCAACACCACCUAUAACUUCACCUCCAGGGAAUGCAACAACCCCUUGUGACCUCUGAGGUCACUGGCAUGCCCAGGCACACACCUACACAUAUAUAAAUACAUGUCUGGGAAAAAAGAUGCACGUGAUUAUGGGGCUCGGCAAGCUUGAAGUUGGCUGCAUAAGCUGUAGGCUGGGAGCUCAGACCGGAGCUGGUGCAGCAGUGUCCAGUUCAUGGGGUCACAUGGAGACUCUGACAGGAGUUAAAACAGGGGUCUCACUGUAUGUUCUAGGCUGUCCUCAAACUCAUGAUCCUUCUGCCUCACUCUGCAGAGUGGCUAGAAUUUUAAGUUUGUGUCACCUCAUUAGCCUGAUGUUAUUAUAAUCACGACUCUGAAAUGCCCAGGACACCCUGCAGGCUGGCGACUCAGUCAAUGGCUUGGAAGUUUGUCUUGAGGGAGAAUUCUUGCUUCUUUGGGCAAAGCUUUGAAUUGCUCCGAGGAGGUACACUCAUAUUGUGGAGGGUGGUCUCUUACGGUAGGCUGUCUGCCGCCUAUAGAUAAAAAUGACAUACACAAAGCGCCUUCACCCAUACAGUAGUGUUGGAACACAGAACCGGGCUCUGCAGCCCAGCCAAAUGGCCAUGUGAGAUCCAGGAAACUCAUUCACCCAGUCUGAAUCAGCUCUUCUGCUCCCAAGGCUGCUGGAGAGUAACAUGAGAAGCAGCCUGCGCUUCUGACAUAGUGUCCUCAUGAGUCUGGGUUACACAGAUCGACUCAUCAGGGUUGGCCUUUGAAGCCCUUUGAUUUCAUCUUGUCCACCUGUCCUGCUUUCUCCUCAGAGCCUUCCUGUGAACUGGCUCUAUGCAGGCUUCAUGUCUUCAUGUGGCAAAGAGUGGAUGUCUCCAGCUAACAGCUGAUGUGUACCCUCCCUGACACACACACACACAGACACACACACACAGAGAGAGAGAGAGAGAGAGAGAGAGAGAGAGCGCCAGCUAAGUCCCACCUAGACUCCUGAGCCGAGGAAAGUGGAAAAUGACAGACAGUCAGUUGUUUCCUAAGCAGCUAAGUCUGGAACUAAGUGCUAUGGUGAGAUAGAUAAGUAAGUAACAGUCCCGUGGAAAGGAAGGCCUACACAGACCCUGGCACAUUGCAGGUGCUUGUCUUGCUUACUUCUCUGAUUGUCGUGACCAAAUACCUGGCAAGAAGCAACCAGCAGGAGGAUGGUGGCAGGAAAGAUAUGGUGGCAGGAAUGGGAGAUGGCUGUCACAUGGAGAUCACCGUCAGAAAUCAGAGACUGAAAAGGAAGUGAACUCACUCUCAAGCCUCAGAAUCCACCCUUCCCGCCCCCACCCCAGAGAACCUCCUGCAGCAAGGACCCACCUUUUAAAGGAUCCACAUCCUUCCAAAACAGCACCACCAGCUGGGGAUCAAGUAUUCUACACGUGUCCACAGGGGACAGCUCACAUAAACCACCAUAGCGCUUAAUAUGUGUGACUGGAAUUUGAGUCCAACCGAGUAAUGGCUUUGUUGAAAGGCCUCCCUCGAGAGGACUUGCAUUUUCAUGAAGAUUCUACCCUAAGGGAAUGAUUUUGUUAUGGGAAAAUUUUCCAGCAGAGCCAUGGGAGGAAGGGUAUGCUUGAGACCACAUGGGGUCACAUACACAAGUAGUGAUCAGUUUUAGUUCUGGGCAAGGUGAGGCAG
Molecule: non-coding RNA, 6151 nt
Organism: Rattus norvegicus (Norway rat)
Lineage: Eukaryota; Metazoa; Chordata; Mammalia; Rodentia; Muridae
Source: RefSeq, a predicted model, not a curated record